GUAUCAAUCGAUUUAAACAUCUAAAAAAAUUGAAACAACACAGAGAAGAUGCCCCUACGCGGGGAUGGCACACAAAUUGAGAAAUGACCCAAGUAUUC
RNAcentral lists this small nuclear RNA (98 nucleotides) under Amborella trichopoda. The record is from RNAcentral. Lineage: Eukaryota; Viridiplantae; Streptophyta; Magnoliopsida; Amborellales; Amborellaceae.